UGGGGAAUAUUGGGCAAUGGACGAAAGUCUGACCCAGCCAUGCCGCGUGAAUGAUGAAGGCUUUAGGGUUGUAAAGUUCUUUCACCGAUGAAGAUAAUGACGGUAGUCGGAGAAGAAGCCCCGGCUAACUUCGUGCCAGCAGCCGCGGUAAUACGAAGGGGGCUAGCGUUGUUCGGAAUUACUGGGCGUAAAGCGAGCGUAGGUUGCUCGAUGUGUCAGUGGUGAAAGCCCAGAGCUCAACUCUGGAACUGCCAUUGAAACUGUCGAGCUGGAAUCUCAGAGGGGGUAGCGGAAUUCCAAAUGUAGGGGUGAAAUCCGUAGAUAUUUGGAGGAACACCGGUGGCGAAGGCGGCUACCUGGAUGAGUAUUGACACUGAGGCUCGAAAGCGUGGGGAUCAAACAG
RNAcentral lists this ribosomal RNA (403 nucleotides) under uncultured bacterium. RNAcentral's name for it is "bacterial SSU rRNA". It matches the Rfam family "Bacterial small subunit ribosomal RNA", at positions 355 to 775 of the family's 1533-position model. The record is from RNAcentral.